Long non-coding RNA from Pipistrellus kuhlii (Kuhl's pipistrelle), 121 nucleotides. RefSeq lists it as uncharacterized. The transcript has 3 exons. NCBI's taxonomy places the organism in Eukaryota, Metazoa, Chordata, Mammalia, Chiroptera, Vespertilionidae. The record is from RefSeq and is a predicted model, not a curated record.
GCAAGAAAUGAUUUGAAGAACUGCACAUUGCUGUCAUGAUAACACAGUGAAAGAAUAUAUCCUAAAUCUUAACUAACUUAACAUUGUUAUGUCAAGAGUGAAAUUGCUGUAGCUGUUUAAU